AGUGAACGCUGGCGGUAGGCCUAACACAUGCAAGUCGAACGGCAGCACAGUAAGAGCUUGCUCUUACGGGUGGCGAGUGGCAGACGGGUGAGGAAUACAUCGGAAUCUACUUUUUCGUGGGGGAUAACGUAGGGAAACUUACGCUAAUACCGCAUACGACCUACGGGUGAAAGCAGGGGAUCUUCGGACCUUGCGCGAUUGAAUGAGCCGAUGUCGGAUUAGCUAGUUGGCGGGGUAAAGGCCCACCAAAGCGACGAUCCGUAGCUGGUCUGAGAGGAUGAUCAGCCACACUGGAACUGAGACACGGUCCAGACUCCUACGGGAGGCAGCAGUGGGGAAUAUUGGACAAUGGGCGCAAGCCUGAUCCAGCCAUACCGCGUGGGUGAAGAAGGCCUUCGGGUUGUAAAGCCCUUUUGUUGGGAAAGAAAAGCAGCAGGUUAAUACCCCGCUGUUCUGACGGUACCCAAAGAAUAAGCACCGGCUAACUUCGUG
This 492-nucleotide ribosomal RNA is filed under the name uncultured bacterium. Its description in RNAcentral is "partial 16S ribosomal RNA". It matches the Rfam family "Bacterial small subunit ribosomal RNA", at positions 29 to 507 of the family's 1533-position model. The record is from RNAcentral.